Puntigrus tetrazona (Sumatra barb) is the source of this 365-nucleotide long non-coding RNA. RefSeq lists it as uncharacterized. The record is from RefSeq and is a predicted model, not a curated record. The transcript is spliced from 2 exons. Lineage: Eukaryota; Metazoa; Chordata; Actinopteri; Cypriniformes; Cyprinidae.
AAUUAGAAUCAAAACCAAGACAAAAUAAAUGCAAAGAAGAAUACGCUAGUUCCUCUUUAGCAGAUAUAAGUCGGCAGAAGCGGAUAGAAGGAUGACAAAUUACCAAUCCUGUCAAACUCUAUCUUUUCAAAUCCUCACCCCUUCAUCAUGGAACCCACACGAAGAAGAUCGUAUGAUGCAAGUUUUAAGUUGAAGGCCAUCGAUCUCGUUAUACAAGAAGGAAACCGCGCUGCUGCUCGGAAGCUUAGCGUCAAUGAGUCUAUGGUGAGACGCUGGAGGAGGCAGCGGGAAGAGCAAAACUUUUUAAAUAGAGCGGAUGCGGCUUAUAUGCAGGUGCGCUUUAUAGUCCAGAAUUUACGGUAUAU